CAGUCGAACGAUGAACCACUUCGGUGGGGAUUAGUGGCGAACGGGUGAGUAACACGUGGGCAAUCUGCCCUUCACUCUGGGACAAGCCCUGGAAACGGGGUCUAAUACCGGAUAAUACUUCUGCUCUCCUGAGCAGAGGUUGAAAGCUCCGGCGGUGAAGGAUGAGCCCGCGGCCUAUCAGCUUGUUGGUGAGGUAAUGGCUCACCAAGGCGACGACGGGUAGCCGGCCUGAGAGGGCGACCGGCCACACUGGGACUGAGACACGGCCCAGACUCCUACGGGAGGCAGCAGUGGGGAAUAUUGCACAAUGGGCGAAAGCCUGAUGCAGCGACGCCGCGUGAGGGAUGACGGCCUUCGGGUUGUAAACCUCUUUCAGCAGGGAAGAAGCGAAAGUGACGGUACCUGCAGAAGAAGCGCCGGCUAACUACGUGCCAGCAGCCGCGGUAAUACGUAGGGCGCAAGCGUUGUCCGGAAUUAUUGGGCGUAAAGAGCUCGUAGGCGGCUUGUCACGUCGGGUGUGAAAGCCCGGGGCUUAACCCCGGGUCUGCAUUCGAUACGGGCUAGCUAGAGUGUGGUAGGGGAGAUCGGAAUUCCUGGUGUAGCGGUGAAAUGCGCAGAUAUCAGGAGGAACACCGGUGGCGAAGGCGGAUCUCUGGGCCAUUACUGACGCUGAGGAGCGAAAGCGUGGGGAGCGAACAGGAUUAGAUACCCUGGUAGUCCACGCCGUAAACGGUGGGCACUAGGUGUUGGCGACAUUCCACGUCGUCGGUGCCGCA
Molecule: ribosomal RNA, 776 nt
Filed under: Streptomyces aureocirculatus
Lineage: Bacteria; Bacillati; Actinomycetota; Actinomycetes; Kitasatosporales; Streptomycetaceae
Description: bacterial SSU rRNA
Rfam family: Bacterial small subunit ribosomal RNA
Source: RNAcentral